ACAUAUCUGUUUACCAUACUUACAAUGACUUCAAAUCAUGGCAACUAUGGACAAAGAAAAUUAUAUAUUAUUGGCAAUCAUUUGUUGACGUGAUUUUGUUUCUUAUCUACAUUGUAACGUAACCAUAUGUUUAUUAUUGAUAUUCGAUUUCGAAUAACGAAAUAAAUAAAUAAAUAAAUAAACGUACACGCAAAGUAUUUUUUUUUCUUUGAUAUAUUUGAAUCAACGUGUUCAUUAUGAUAAUCGAUAGAAGUUUUUUAAAUGUGAUAAUAUUGAGUUGUGGCUUUAUGCUGGUAUUUACAGCAUUUCAAACAAUGGGAAAUAUUGAGCUCUGAUUCAUAUUCGAAUAUUCGAGUUCCAGCCAGCCUGAAUUAAAUUGGAGAAGAAAAGGCCGGCGCUUUCCGUUUCGCGGUUUCAUUGUUCUCUAUAAUGGAGUUAUAUAAAGAUCACAGUUCCUAUUUCUUUUUCUAUUAAUAUAGCUUUGAUCAUGAUUGAUAAAAAAAAUUUCAAUCUAGUUCACUUAUAAAUUCACUUAUAUUACGGCGUACUUUGUUUUGUUUAUUGGAUGAAUUCUCAAGAGAAUGCUAUAUCAUAUUCCGUGAAACACCACAAUGGCUUUUCUAAGAUUCUAUCAAUAUAAAAACCUAAAACAACCGGAGUUCGGAGUAUCUGUAUCAUUCAAAUAUUAUAGUUCAUAUAGUCCAUCUAUUUAUUUAGAAUUGGAAAGAUUGCAUCAACGCAAUCUUUGCAAUUUAUAACUUUCUCUUCCAAUUUGCUACCGAUGGAUCUGGUAUUUCAUUUUGGAUCGUAUGCUGGUAAGUUCUGGCAGAAAUAUUUUAUUUCUGGCGUACAUACAUAUAAGUAAACAUAAUCUUCCUAAUAUAUGGAAUAAUAAUAAUCUGUCAGCAGCAUUACUGUUUAAGAGAUUUUACAACAUUUCUAGAUAUCAAGUCACUUGCUUAUCAAGUCACUGGGACUCUAUAGAGCUAUGGUCCAACUUCUAUAUAGACACGGCAAAUUUUUUCAUGCAAGUAAGUGAACUUGCUUUUUUCAACUGAAAUGAUUUUUUCCAAUUAGGAUCAAAAUGGAUCUUGAAGCGCUGGAGAUUGGCUAAAAGAAGACUGAAGUAUCUUAUCAUGUUUCUGAAUGCAUCCUCAAUAUCAAAUAUAUGAUAAUAAAUCAUAAAUAAUGAUAAAUCAUAAAUAAAAAAAUGUAAACAUAAUCAGGAUGAACAUGCUCAUCGAAUAAAACCAAGCCUUGGUCUUAUGUGGAAUCAUUUUCAACGGAUGAUGAGAACCAUAGAGAACAUAUCCAUCUUUAUAAGGCGAACAAUUCUUUUUUUUUCUUACUUUUGAUUGAUCAGUGUAUCAUAAAUAUGUUACGUCAGGCAUACAGGAUGAUCCGCAAUAUCGUAUGUGAUGUCCCUUUAUAUGAAUCCACAUUAUAAUGAAUUUAACAUUAACUCCUGUGAGACAUAUUCUAUGCAUAACAUACUAACUUAGAAAUUUUAUGUUUUAUGUAUUUUAUGUUUUAUAUAUUUUAUGUAUUUGUAUCAAAAGUAAUUUCCCAUUACUUGUUUCAUGUAGGUAGACACUUAAUGGUACUUUUUUUAUUGCUGUCUAGGAUAGGGAAUUAAAAAUAUUGAUAAUAUUCAAUAAUACUGCCAAUAUAACCUCAUAGAAGAGAGCUAGUCUAAGAAGAUUCUGACGUGUUUAAUCAUAGAGCGAUUUAUUUGUACUGAUUCUUAAUCAAAUCGGAAUCUUACUGGAACAGGCAAUUAAAAAGAUUCAGGACUCCUUAUUUAAAUAUAUCCUUAUUAAAAUAUAUGUCAAAUAAUUGAUACAGUUUUGACCUGAGAAAAUCUCAGUAUCUUGGUUGGAUCAAUACCUAAAUACGAUCAGUGAUGUCGAUGAAACUUUGUUUGUUAGCUGCAAAGCGUUUAAGAACUAACUAUUCUAGAAGAAUCCAUCGUUAAUUUUUAUGUAUAUGAUAGUAAAAUCUAGUUCAAUAGCUAUUCAAAAGGAUUAAUACCAAGAGGAAUAUCGAGAGAUCAUAUCUUAUAGCCUAGAUAUUCCUGGCACAAAUUUUAAUUCGAAAAUGCAUAUACUCCGUUCAUAACGAAAUGUAUCCAUUCUAUCCAUUUUCUUGUACGCUU
Molecule: RNA transcript, 2155 nt
Organism: Apis laboriosa (Himalayan honeybee)
Lineage: Eukaryota; Metazoa; Arthropoda; Insecta; Hymenoptera; Apidae
Gene name: UNC93-like protein MFSD11
Exons: 4
Source: RefSeq, a predicted model, not a curated record